CAGAUUAUAGCUUAUUUUAAAGCUUAUUUUUUACAUUAAUAGGAAGAAUUUAUUCUUUUCUGA
RNAcentral lists this transfer RNA (63 nucleotides) under Evacanthus heimianus. RNAcentral describes it as "tRNA-Val". The record is from RNAcentral. RNAcentral also lists the same sequence under 3 other names. Lineage: Eukaryota; Metazoa; Arthropoda; Insecta; Hemiptera; Cicadellidae.